RNAcentral lists this long non-coding RNA (1501 nucleotides) under Sarcophilus harrisii (Tasmanian devil). Its description in RNAcentral is "lncRNA (ENSSHAG00000028335.1)". The record is from RNAcentral. Lineage: Eukaryota; Metazoa; Chordata; Mammalia; Dasyuromorphia; Dasyuridae.
GGGAUAGGAAGCACCACAAAAAAUAACUAGAGCAUCAGGCAAACCAAAUGACUCAAAGAAUAUUCCUCAGGGAAGGAGUGUCCCUGAAGUCCGAUCACCCCACCACAUCUUCCAUCCCCAGCUUCCUUUCCUCUGGCCCGUUCAUCUACAAAUGCCUUCUUCCUUCAACCCUGUUCCCAUCCUCACUUCUAUUCCCAAGCUCCCGUAGUAUCCCUUCCCCAACAACCCUGUCUUCCCCGAUCUCUUCCCACUGUCCUUCCUGUGUCCAGCCCCAUCCCCUUGAUGAUCUUUUCACUCCCCGUGAUCCUCCCUUCCAAAGCCCCCUUAGUCCACAUUCCAUGCCACGCCCUCUCCCUCCCCGCCCCCCAUUGGUCUCUCUUCCUUUCCAUUCUCCUCAAAGGUCUCCGUUCCAUUCUAUCUUUUUCCAUUUCAGUGCGGCAGUCUCCCUUCCAUUCUCCUCCCCUCCCCCUUUGGUCUCCAUUCUGUUUCCCCCUUCCUGGUCACUCUUCCUUGGUUUCCGUUCCAUUCCAUCCCUUUGUCACCCCCGUUCUAUUCGCAUCCACAUCCAGGGCUUCCCGGAGGCCGAGCAGAAGCCCCCGCCAUGGCGCGGCACCGGCGCCCAGGCCGCAGCCCUCCGGGGCCCGCAGUCCAUUCACUCAGCUCAUUUUGGAGCCUGGCGCUGCUCCUGGCCUUCCUCUGGGUCGCUGCUACCACCUGGGGCUUUGCGGGCUACCGAGAGGCUCAGACGAGGGCGCAGCGGGAGGCAGUGCUGAAGUCUCUGGGGACAGAAGGCCAAUUCUUGUUUGCCUCUCUGGAUACUGACAGGGACUUAUCCAUCAGCCCUGAGGAGUUCAGACCCAUUGCUGAGAAACUGAGGGAAAUCAACAGAGACUAGAAGUGGAUGGAUGGAUGAUGAACAUAAGAGAAGAGGAAAUAUUGUCACAUCCCCUUAACAUAUAGCUUCAUUUUCCCAUCUGAGCAAUACCCUAUCUUCUCCAAGACAAGAUGAGGGCAAACGAGAAGGCUCCUGGGAAAAUCUCUGGACCUAAAUAUUGAAAAUCAUUAUUAAUGGGCACUAUCACUGAGGAAGAAGAGUAAUCAUGUUGGAAGAAUCAAGGCAAGCUAAUGACUAGUCUUCUCAGAUCCUCAAAGCUCCUUUUGUCUUAGGUUUUAUUAUGAUCUCAGCUGCUCUCAUGAAAUGGAAUUUCAGAUACAUUUAUGGUUGCAGUUUACAAAUGUGUAAAUAAUAAAAGCUUUGGAAGUGAAAUAAGUAUAAAUAGGACUUCAUCCUUAUUCUACCUCACAGUCAUUCAUUGCAAACAAUAUAAAGGAAAUUCUAGAAUUCUAAAGCAAGAAGGGGGGGAGAGUCUUGAAGUUUUAUGUUGAUCUGUUGUGCAACAGUUCCUUUUUAUUGUCCUGCCUCAGUUUCCCUGAAUUGUUCUGACUCAGUUCCUAAUUGUUCUGCUCAAUCCUGCAACACCACCCCUCCCUCUUAAUCAUC